CAGUAGCCACGGUAAUACAGAGGAUGCAAGCGUUAUCUGGAAUGAUUGGGCGUAAAGCGUCUGUAGGUGGCUUUUCAAGUCCGCCGUCAAAUCUCAGGGCUCAACCCUGGACAGGCGGUGGAAACUACCAAGCUGGAGUACGGUAGGGGCGGAGGGAAUUUCCGGUGGAGCGGUGAAAUGCGUUGAGAUCGAAAAGAACACCAACGGUGAAAACACUCUGCUGGGCCGACACUGACACUGAAGACGAAAGCUAGGGGAGAAAAUGGGAUUAGAUACCCCGGUAGUCCCUGUCUCUUAUACA
This 301-nucleotide ribosomal RNA is filed under the name uncultured bacterium. RNAcentral describes it as "partial 16S ribosomal RNA". It matches the Rfam family "Bacterial small subunit ribosomal RNA", at positions 509 to 809 of the family's 1533-position model. The record is from RNAcentral.